This 500-nucleotide ribosomal RNA is filed under the name uncultured bacterium. RNAcentral's name for it is "partial 16S ribosomal RNA". It matches the Rfam family "Bacterial small subunit ribosomal RNA", at positions 29 to 523 of the family's 1533-position model. The record is from RNAcentral.
AUUGAACGCUAGCGGGAUGCCUUACACAUGCAAGUCGAACGGCAGCACGGACUUCGGUCUGGUGGCGAGUGGCGAACGGGUGAGUAGCGUAUCGGAACGUGCCCAGUGGCGGGGGAUAACUACGCGAAAGCGUCGCUCAUACCGCAAUCGCCCUAAGGGGGAAAGCGGGGGAUUGCCAGACCUCGCACUAUUGGAGCGGCCGACAUCGGAUUAGCUAGUUGGUGGGGUAAAGGCCUACCAAGGCGACGAUCCGUAGCGGGUUUGAGAGGACGGCCAGCCACACUGGGACUGAGACACGGCCCAGACUCCUACGGGAGGCAGCAGUGGGGAAUUUUGGACAAUGGGGGCAACCCUGAUCCAGCCAUUUCGCGUGUGCGAUGAAGGCCUUCGGGUUGUAAAGCACUUUUGGCAGGGAAGAAAGGGCUUAGGUUAAUAGCCUAGGUUGAUGACGGUACCUGCAGAAUAAGCACCGGCUAACUACGUGCCAGCCGCCGCAGUAA